Pipistrellus kuhlii (Kuhl's pipistrelle) is the source of this 593-nucleotide long non-coding RNA. RefSeq lists it as uncharacterized. The transcript is spliced from 4 exons. The record is from RefSeq and is a predicted model, not a curated record. NCBI's taxonomy places the organism in Eukaryota, Metazoa, Chordata, Mammalia, Chiroptera, Vespertilionidae.
CCAGGGCACCACAAAGUGCUCCUUAUUGAGGCUAAUGAAAAAGCCCGCAAGAUGGGCAGUGAAAUUGCUCUUACCUGUGGAGUGGUCGCUCAUUUGAGGAGAGUCUCUCUCCUCUUGGUGGUGACCUUUUUGCUCAGUUAUGUGGUUGUUUUCUUGUCGCGAGCUGUCCCAGUGCUGGGCUGGUGCACACUGGACAGCAGGGCCCAUGAGAAGACCAUCUCAGAAUAUACCUCGUGGGAAUAGAGCAGAGAGCCUUCCUGAACUGAUAGCCUGGGAGCAAGCAGGACAUCAAAAGCUGGCUUAAGUGAAUUCAUGACUCAUGGUCACUCUUGGCAACAAAGAAGAGAUCAUGGAGAUUAGACAGAACAUGAUAUCACUUCAAAAACAAGAAGCAGAAGAGGGGACUCGAUGACCUCAAAUCACCUGGGAAAAGAACAGUGAGCCAGUGGGUCCUUUUUUAAUGGAGAGCAUGUUCCUUCCUCUUAUUUCCUUCUGCCUGUCCUCUCUGGAUGAUGAAACGUGUUCAACUGUACAGACUGUGACUGGGCUCACAUCUCCAGCUGCCACACCACCACUUGGAUUCCCUUUAAACA